AUGUUAGUUGUCUAUGAGCCCACUCAGAUUCAGAUUUCUUGUUCGACAAAUUCCUACCUCUAUAUCUAUCUCUGAGGUGUUUGGGUUUUGCAAAACUCCAUAGACAUGCAGAAGAGAAAUGCUAUCCCCACUCCGACCAAGAUAGAACUUUUACCAAAAGUUUAUUGUGAUCUUUUUGUUCAAAUAACAAUUAAGGUGAAGCAGGUCAGGAACAAUGAAUCUCUUUAUGAUAAACAGAUCCAUUUUGCAAGUUCGUUAUUACGGGUAGUUCCUACAAAGAAUCGGACUAAUGACGUAUACAAUGCUUGA
Molecule: ribosomal RNA, 309 nt
Filed under: Triticum aestivum (bread wheat)
Lineage: Eukaryota; Viridiplantae; Streptophyta; Magnoliopsida; Poales; Poaceae
Description: partial small subunit ribosomal RNA
Source: RNAcentral